GACGAACGCUGGCGGCGUGCUUAACACAUGCAAGUCGAACGGAAAGGCCCUGCUUUUGUGGUGUUCUCGAUUGGCGAUCGGGUGAGUAACACGUGAGUAACCUGCCCUUGACUUUGGGAUGACUUCAGGAAACUGGGGCUACUAUCGGAUAGCAGCUCCUGCUGCAUGGAGGGGGUUGGAUCGUUUCGGCGGGUGUGGAUGGACUCGCGGCUUAUCAGCUAGUUGGUGGGGUAGUGGCAUACCCAGGCUUUGACGGGUCGCCGGCCUGAGAGGGUGAACGGCCACCUGGGGCCUGAGAGACGGCGCAGUGUGCUACAGUGGGCAGCAGGCGGGAGUCUGGCACAGCGGGCGGAAGCCGGUUGAGGCAGCGCCGCGUGUGGGAUGACGGCCUGCGGGUAGAAAACCGCAUUCGCUUGUGACGAAGCGUGAGUGACGGUAAUGGGUAAAGAAGCACCGGCUAACUACGUG
This 468-nucleotide ribosomal RNA is filed under the name uncultured bacterium. RNAcentral's name for it is "partial 16S ribosomal RNA". It matches the Rfam family "Bacterial small subunit ribosomal RNA", at positions 28 to 507 of the family's 1533-position model. The record is from RNAcentral.